UCAGAUGGCCGGGCGGCCGCUGGCUCCGGGCAGGUUCCGGGGCUGGAGGAAAGUCCGGGCUCCACGGGAAUACGGUGCCGGUCAACGGCCGGCGAGGGCGACCUCAGGGAAAGUGCCACAGAAAUCAGACCGCCAGCCCGGCUCGCCGCGCUGGCAAGGGUGAAACGGUGCGGUAAGAGCGCACCGCGCCCCUGGCAACAGGGGCGGCACGGUAAACCCCACCGGGAGCAAGGCCGAAUAGGGGUGGCCGGCGGGAGUUCCGCGAGGGACUCGGCCGCAGGGGCGUUCCCGCCCCGCCACCCGGGUUGGCCGCGAGAGGCAUGCCGCGAGGCAUGUCCCAGAGGAAUGGUCGCCCCGGGCGCGCGGCUUGCCGCGUGCCCGGACAGAACCCGGCUUACAGGCCAUCUGACGCG
This 413-nucleotide RNase P RNA is filed under the name Teichococcus rhizosphaerae. RNAcentral describes it as "Pseudoroseomonas rhizosphaerae Bacterial RNase P class A". It matches the Rfam family "Bacterial RNase P class A". From Rfam's summary of the family: Ribonuclease P (RNase P) is a ubiquitous endoribonuclease, found in archaea, bacteria and eukarya as well as chloroplasts and mitochondria. The record is from Rfam by way of RNAcentral. Lineage: Bacteria; Pseudomonadati; Pseudomonadota; Alphaproteobacteria; Acetobacterales; Roseomonadaceae.